UCGAACGGUAACAGGGACUUCGGGCUGCKGACGAGUGGCGAACGGGUGAGAUAUGCAUCGGAACGUACCGAGUAAUGGGGGAUAACGCAUCCAAAGGUGUGCUAAUACCGCAUACGCCCUGAGGGGGAAAGCGGGGGAUCGAAAGACCUCGCGUUAUUCGAGCGGCCGAUGCCGGAUUAGCUAGUUGGUGGGGUAAAGGCUCACCAAGGCGACRAUCCGUAGCAGGUCUGAGAGGAUGAUCUGCCACACUGGGACUGAGACACGGCCCAG
RNAcentral lists this ribosomal RNA (270 nucleotides) under uncultured beta proteobacterium. RNAcentral's name for it is "partial 16S ribosomal RNA". It matches the Rfam family "Bacterial small subunit ribosomal RNA", at positions 62 to 334 of the family's 1533-position model. Lineage: Bacteria; Pseudomonadati; Pseudomonadota; Betaproteobacteria. The record is from RNAcentral.